Molecule: unclassified non-coding RNA, 200 nt
Filed under: Volvariella sp.
Lineage: Eukaryota; Fungi; Basidiomycota; Agaricomycetes; Agaricales; Pluteaceae
Description: partial internal transcribed spacer 2
Source: RNAcentral
UUAAGUUCAGCGGGUAGUCCUACCUGAUUUGAGGUCAAGGGUGUCAAAGGGGCGGAAAGACCGUGACAGGUCUCGUCCGGUUCGAAGCCGGGCCACGCUGAGUGCGACCGCGGGGGCGUAGAUGGACUAUCAACGCCGUGAGGCCGACUGCGACUGGGCCCUGCUGAUGCCUUUGAGGAGAGCGGAUCGCAAGGGCUAGC